This 494-nucleotide ribosomal RNA is filed under the name Pachycheles rugimanus. RNAcentral's name for it is "partial 16S ribosomal RNA". It matches the Rfam family "Bacterial large subunit ribosomal RNA", at positions 1943 to 2644 of the family's 2925-position model. Lineage: Eukaryota; Metazoa; Arthropoda; Malacostraca; Decapoda; Porcellanidae. The record is from RNAcentral.
UGACCGUGCGAAGGUAGCAUAAUCAUUAGUUUUUUAAUUGGAGGCUUGUAUGAACGAUUGGACAAGAGCUAAACUGUCUCUUUUUUAAAAAUUGAAUUUUAUUAUUAAGUGAAAAAGCUUAAAUGAAUAAGAAGGACGAUAAGACCCUAUAAAUCUUUAUAAGAGUUAGUUUUUAAAUAAAAAUAUUUAUUUAAAAUAUUUUAGAAAUUUAAAUUAUUGUGCUGGGGCGGUGGUAAUAUAAAAUAAACUGUUAAUAGAUAAAAACAAAUAUAUUUGAAAUUAAAAGAUCCUUAUUAAGGAUUAAAAGAGAAAGUUACUUUAGGGAUAACAGCAUAAUUUCUUUUGAGAGUUCAAAUCGAAAAAGAAGUUUGUGACCUCGAUGUUGAAUUAAGAAUUCCUUAUGGUGCAGCAGUUAUAAAGGAAAGUCUGUUCGACUUUUAAAUUCUUACAUGAUUUGAGUUCAGACCGGCGUGAGCCAGGUUGGUUUCUAUCUA